UCCUGGCUCAGGAGUGAACGCUGGCGGCGUGCUUAACACAUGCAAGUCGAACGAAGCAUUUACCGGAACAUUUCGGAUGGAAGUUAAAUGACUGAGUGGCGGACGGGUGAGUAACGCGUGGAUAACCUACCAUAUACAGGGGGACAACAGUUGGAAACGACUGCUAAUACCGCAUAAGCGCACAGUGCCGCAUGGCACGGUGUGAAAAACUCCGGUGGUAUAUGAUGGAUCCGCGUCUGAUUAGCUAGUUGGUGAGGUAACGGCCCACCAAGGCAACGAUCAGUAGCCGACCUGAGAGGGUGACCGGCCACAUUGGGACUGAGACACGGCCCAAACUCCUACGGGAGGCAGCAGUGGGGAAUAUUGCACAAUGGGCGAAAGCCUGAUGCAAGCGACGCCGCGUGAGCGAAGAAGUAUUUCGGUAUGUAAAGCUCUAUCAGCAGGGAAGAAAAUGACGGUACCUGACUAAGAAGCCCCGGCUAACUACGUGCCAGCCGCUGC
RNAcentral lists this ribosomal RNA (501 nucleotides) under uncultured bacterium. RNAcentral describes it as "bacterial SSU rRNA". It matches the Rfam family "Bacterial small subunit ribosomal RNA", at positions 17 to 518 of the family's 1533-position model. The record is from RNAcentral.